AUGACGGCUUCUUCAUGCAAAAGUGGCCUGAGAGGCGCCGCAAAGUCAUUGUUCUCCCCGGUGGCAUUAUCCACUGGACGACUCUACCUAGGAUCCUAUUCCCCCCCCCCCCCAGUCGGGUGCGGGUCCAGGCUACUAAGAUUGUACCACGUCGUAGGUUUCACUAUCUCCAUGUGGCACCAGCUCUAUGACGGUGAGCAAGUUCAACCACUACUAGGAAAAUGCUUGUACGUAGAAGGCGGAUUUGAUAUGAUCUGCAGUGGAAGGGAUAAGAUUGAAACACCAGAGCAGUUCCAGCAAGCUGAAGACACAGUCAACAGACUUGAUUUGGAUGGACUUGUUGUCAUCGGUGGUGAUGAUUCAAACACAAACGCAUGCCUCCUCGGUGAAUACUUCAGGGGAAGGAACUUGAAGACUCGUGUUAUUAGUUGCACAAAGACUAUUGAUGGAGAUCUAAAAUGCAAGGAGGUCCCAACAAUGGUAUUCAGAUCUUUAUUAAUUGAAUUAUUAAGUACACGUAGAGAGCUUAUGGGUCGUGCUGCUUCUCACAUUACACUAGAGUGUGCUCUACAGACACACCCUAAUGUUGCACUCAUCGGUGAAGAGGUUGCUGAGAAGAAGGAAACACUCAAGAAUGUCACAGACUACAUUACCGAUGUUGUUUACAAACGUGUAGAACUUGGUUACAACUAUGGAGUUGUCCUAAUACCGGAAGGCUUGAUUGAUUUCAUCCCAGAGAUUCAAAAACUCAUUGCAGAAUUGAAUGAAAUUUUGGCACAUGAUGUUGUUGACGAGGCAGGGGCUUGGAAAAGCAAGCUUGAACCAGCAUCUAGGGAGUUGUUUGACUUCUUGCCCAAAACCAUUCAGGAGCAGCUUUUGCUUGAAAGAGAUCCCCAUGGCAAUGUUCAGGUUGCAAAAAUUGAAACUGAGAAAAUGCUUAUUGCCAUGGUUGAAACUGAAUUGGAGAAGAGAAGAGCGGCGGGGAAGUACUCUGCACAUUUCAGAGCCCAGUCUCUAGAUGCUGGUUCCUGUAGCGACGUCGCACCCACAUCAUUUGAUUCCUCUCAUUGGGAUGUGCACGCUGCCGACGUCGACACACCCAUCAAUAUCCUGCCUCCUAUCCACAGUAAUUAUUCCCGAGUUGCUGCCACAACCACUUUACAAGAAAUAGAGGUCAAUCAAACUGAUAAGCAAGCAUGGAAACCGAAUAUGCAGAAGACAAAGUUCUUCACUUCGGCUCGCACGAUCUUCGCGUUCUCCUCCUCGGUCCUCUCAUAUGAUGGCGGUGUAGCUUCGGGGGCAGUUUCGGCAUCUCUAUUGAUGUCUCGUUCCUCUAGCACUUGA
This 1344-nucleotide ribosomal RNA is filed under the name Triticum aestivum (bread wheat). Its description in RNAcentral is "partial small subunit ribosomal RNA". Lineage: Eukaryota; Viridiplantae; Streptophyta; Magnoliopsida; Poales; Poaceae. The record is from RNAcentral.